AUAUCGCUUUUUAAAUAUUAAGCGCGUGGUCUGAAGAAUUUAUUCUGUUUAUGAAACGUUUCGGUGUGUUCUUUUCUCAAGGAAAUACAUUUUUGUAUGGCGAAUAUUCCUCCUACAGUUCUUUUGUAGGAGAUAAUACCUACGACAAAUUCGUGUUGUUAUCCUCAAGGUUUUCACAAACUUGUGUAAGAGGCGUAACAGACUGGUGUGAUAUUUACCACAGAAAAAAGACGCCUCCGAGUCUUACAAAACGUCAGCCAUAAAAAAAAUCUGUAAAAAAAAAAAUAAAGAUUAAGUUUAUUAAUACUCGACGUUAGUUAUAUUCCCUCUUUCUUUAUAUAAAAGGAGGAUUUUAGGUUAAAAAUCGAUCAAUUUUUUAGUGUUACAGAUAAACUAUCGCAUUUUAUUCCGUUAUCUGUUAACGACAUAAACUAGUGUAU
RNAcentral lists this long non-coding RNA (440 nucleotides) under Androctonus crassicauda. The record is from RNAcentral. Lineage: Eukaryota; Metazoa; Arthropoda; Arachnida; Scorpiones; Buthidae.